Molecule: non-coding RNA, 30 nt
Filed under: Rattus norvegicus (Norway rat)
Lineage: Eukaryota; Metazoa; Chordata; Mammalia; Rodentia; Muridae
Source: RNAcentral
UGUGGACCUCAUAUAUUCUAUUGUGCCCAC